This 492-nucleotide ribosomal RNA is filed under the name uncultured bacterium. Its description in RNAcentral is "partial 16S ribosomal RNA". It matches the Rfam family "Bacterial small subunit ribosomal RNA", at positions 29 to 507 of the family's 1533-position model. The record is from RNAcentral.
AGUGAACGCUGGCGGCAGGCCUAACACAUGCAAGUCGAACGGCAGCACGGUCAGCGCUUGCUCUUCCGGUGGCCGACGGGCGGGCGGUUCAUGGGAACAUCGCCAUCUAUUUUUUCGUGGGGGACAACGUAGGGAAACUUACGCCAAUCCCGCAUACGACCUACGCGUGAGAGCGGGAGGUCUUCCGCCCUUGCGCGAUCCGAUGACCCGAUAUCGGAUUAGCUGGUUGGGGGGGUAAAGGCCCACCCAGGCGGAGCUCCGUUGCCGGGCCGAGAGGGCGACUAGCCCAAAUGGGAAUGAGAAAAGGGCCAGAAUCCUAAGGGAGGCAGCAGGGGGGAAUUUUUGACAAAGGGGGGAACCCUGAUCCAGCCAUGCCGCGGGCGGGAAGAAGGCCUUCGGGUUGUAAAACGCUUUUGUUCGGGAAGAAAACCUAGGGGCUAAUACCCCGGGGGUUUGACGGUAACCGAAGAAUAAGCAACGGCUAACUUCGUG